UUAUCUUAUUCUAGGAGUUAUAAGGCUAGAAUUAGAUUACCUUUUACGAUCUAAGAUCUAGAAGUAAGAUUUAGAACCUUGUUCUAAAUUGAGUCACUCCACAAUCUAACUUGAUCAAGGCUUGAUUGAAUGGCUCAGGUGCAA
Molecule: long non-coding RNA, 144 nt
Organism: Cucurbita maxima (winter squash)
Lineage: Eukaryota; Viridiplantae; Streptophyta; Magnoliopsida; Cucurbitales; Cucurbitaceae
Exons: 3
Source: RefSeq, a predicted model, not a curated record